Long non-coding RNA from Amblyraja radiata (thorny skate), 133 nucleotides. RefSeq lists it as uncharacterized. Lineage: Eukaryota; Metazoa; Chordata; Chondrichthyes; Rajiformes; Rajidae. The record is from RefSeq and is a predicted model, not a curated record. The transcript is spliced from 3 exons.
GACCAGUGGAGGUCCACAAAGAUCUAUGCUGGGUCCCCUGUUAUUUGUGAAGUACAUAAAUGACUUUGACAUAAAUGUAAAUGUGUUGCUUAGUCAGUUUGCAGAUGAGACCAAGAUUGCUGGGGCCAUUGAC